Molecule: ribosomal RNA, 447 nt
Filed under: uncultured bacterium
Lineage: Bacteria
Description: bacterial SSU rRNA
Rfam family: Bacterial small subunit ribosomal RNA
Source: RNAcentral
AGCCAGACUCCUACGGGAGGCAGCAGUGGGGAAUAUUGCACAAUGGGGGAAACCCUGAUGCAGCGACGCCGCGUGAGUGAAGAAGUAUUUCGGUAUGUAAAGCUCUAUCAGCAGGGAAGAAAAUGACGGUACCUGACCAAGAAGCCCCGGCUAACUACGUGCCAGCAGCCGCGGUAAUACGUAGGGGGCAAGCGUUAUCCGGAUUUACUGGGUGUAAAGGGAGCGUAGACGGUGAUGCAAGUCAGAAGUGAAAGCCCGGGGCUCAACUCCGGGACUGCUUUUGAAACUGUGUAGCUGGAGUGCAGGAGAGGUAAGCGGAAUUCCUAGUGUAGCGGUGAAAUGCGUAGAUAUUAGGAGGAACACCAGUGGCGAAGGCGGCUUACUGGACUGUAACUGACGUUGAGGCUCGAAAGCGUGGGGAGCAAACAGGAUUAGAUACACCCGUAC